AGAUCCACUGGCCACAACUCUCACUGACUUGGGUGAACGAGAUAAGAUGUAUAUAACCCACAUGUCAGAGGAGGCUACUUCCUGAAAUACUGGACAACUGAGACACCCACCUGUCUGGGACCCAUUGACCUUCCAUGGAAAAAUCAUAAAAGCUUCUUCAGCCAAGUGCAGUGUCACACACCUGUAAUCCCAGCAACUGAGGAGGCCAAGGCAGGAUGAUUGCAAGUUUGGGACCAACCUGGGCAGCUUAGCAAGAC
RNAcentral lists this long non-coding RNA (257 nucleotides) under Marmota monax (woodchuck). Lineage: Eukaryota; Metazoa; Chordata; Mammalia; Rodentia; Sciuridae. The record is from RNAcentral.